UAAGUUUUAUUCUUAUUUUAGUGCUUCGUUAAUUUAUUUUAUUUAAAUUAAUUUAUAUAAAAGGGGUAAAAGAAAUGUUUGAUUUCAGCUUAAUUUUUUACGUUAUUAUUAAAAUUGUAUGAAAGCUAAGGCGUGAUAUAAAUAAUUUAAUUAAAUAUUAAAUUAGUUAAAAAGUAAAGGUAAAUUAUGAAACUUUAUAGUCUCAGCAUAAAAUAUUAUAAGCAAUAUAUUAAAGUAUGAUAUAGUAGUAAUAAUCUAAGUCUGAUUAAUAUUUGUGCCAGCAUUCGCGGUUAUACUUUAAGAUUAAGUAAAAAUUCAAGGUUAUAGUUAAAUAGGUAAUUAAUAAAAUAUAUAAGUAAUAAAGGGUAAAAUCGGAAUAUUAUUUUGUAUAAAAAAAAAUUCUAAUUGAAGCUAAAAAAGUUUAGUAAUAAACUAGGAUUAGAUACCCUAUUAUUCUAAAAUAAAAUAAUCUAGACCAAAUUAGUAAGAGAUAAAUACUUAAAAUUUAAAAAAUUUGGCGGCAAUUUAAUCUUUUCAGAGGAACCUGUUUUGUAAUCGAUAAACCACGAAAAAUCUUACUUGUUCUUGUAAAUAAAACAGUUUGUAUACCAUCAUUAUCAGAUAAUUCUUAGAGGAGAAAUUAUUAAAUUUGGUUGUUUAGUUAAAUUAGAUCAU
Molecule: ribosomal RNA, 675 nt
Filed under: Helice latimera
Lineage: Eukaryota; Metazoa; Arthropoda; Malacostraca; Decapoda; Varunidae
Description: partial 12S ribosomal RNA
Source: RNAcentral